GCCGGCGUGGCGCAAUGGUAGCGCGUAGCUUUCCUACAGUGUUUGGUCAGGCUGAAGUUGCGGGUUCGAUCCCCGUCGUCGGUU
Molecule: transfer RNA, 84 nt
Filed under: Lentinula lateritia
Lineage: Eukaryota; Fungi; Basidiomycota; Agaricomycetes; Agaricales; Omphalotaceae
Description: tRNA-Arg
Rfam family: tRNA
About the family: Transfer RNA (tRNA) molecules are approximately 80 nucleotides in length. Their secondary structure includes four short double-helical elements and three loops (D, anti-codon, and T loops).
Source: RNAcentral